AUGAGCUCACCAUCCUCUUGCAUCGCGCUCUCCAUUCCUCUCAUCAUCUUCUUUAUGCUCAAACGUCAUGGCGGGCGCCAGAAACUCCCACCUGGUCCGCCAGCCCUGCUGUUCAUAGCCAAGUUGUUGUUGAUGCUUAAGAGCCCGAUCUACCAUUUGGGCCCUGUGCUACGCAGCUUGCAUGCCUGCUACGGCCCCAUCGUCUCCGUCUGUCUCGGGCGAACCUUCGUUUUCGUGGCCGACCGCCACCUCACGCAUAGCGCCCUCGUCAAGGGCGGCGGCAACUUCGACACCCGCCCACCGCCCAGCAAGCUUUUUACCCUGUUUUUAGGGGGCUCCAUGUCCGCCUCUCCCCUUGGGCCCUAUUUUCGUCUGGUCCGCCGCAACCUGCACUCCCAGGCGCUGCACCCGUCCCGCGUCAGGCUCUUGGCGCCGGUCAGGCAGCGCGUGUGCGACGCGCUCGUUGGCUCGCUGCGCCGCGAUCGCGAUGCAGCGUCCCAGGGCACUGUUACGGUGAGGCCGUUGAUGGCGCGCUGUUUGUUCGAUCUGCUCACGAGCAUGACAUUCGGCGUCACGCUUGGCCAAGAGGCGCUGGACGAGAUGCAACAGAUGCAGCUCCAGAUUUCCGACGGCAUCAACAGGUUCCCCGUCUUAUCCAUCUUCCAGCCCAUCACCAAGAGGCUACUGCGGAAGGAGUGGGCGCUGAACGUGGCGCUACGGGAGAGGCAGAAGGGGCUGAUGCUGCCGCUGAUCCACGCGCGCCGCGGCCACGAUGGCGCUCAAUGCUACGCUGACUCCCUCCUCGAGCUGCGUGUGGCAGAAGAAGGCGGUCGCCCGCUCACGGACGACGAGAUGGUAAGCCUCUGCUCCGAGUUCAUGAUUGCCUCAACCGACACUUCGGUGGCCUUGCUGGAGUGGAUCAUGGCGGACCUCGUAAACCACCCCGACGUCCAAGCCAAGUUGUACGAGGAGGUGAGGGGCAAGCCUGAGCUCAGCGAGGAGGAGCUGAGCGGGAUGCCAUACCUCAAAGCCAUCGUGCUGGAGGCGCUGCGGCUGCACCCUACGGCACACUUAGUCUUCCCGCACGGCAUGCAGAGCGACACAGAGAUUGGUGGAUACAUGGUGCCCAAGGGCGUCGACAUCAACUUCUUGGUGUCCGACUUUGGGCUUGACGAGACCGUGUGGCCGGCGGCGCGGGAGUUCCGGCCUGAGCGGUUCUUGCACGACCACGGCGUGGACAUCACGUGUACCAAGGAGAUCAAGAUGGCCCCUUUUGGUGCCGGUCGAAGGAUGUGCCCGGGCUACGUGCUCGCCACACUGCAUGCGGAGUACUUCGUGGGCAGCCUCGUGAGGGAGUUCCAAUGGCUGCCGCCAGGUGGACAAGACACUGUCGACAUGACGGAGGAGCUAGCUAUGGCCAUCAACAUGAAGCACCCGCUCCGUGCUCGCAUCAUCCCAAGGGCUUAA
RNAcentral lists this ribosomal RNA (1467 nucleotides) under Triticum aestivum (bread wheat). Its description in RNAcentral is "partial small subunit ribosomal RNA". The record is from RNAcentral. Lineage: Eukaryota; Viridiplantae; Streptophyta; Magnoliopsida; Poales; Poaceae.